Microcebus murinus (gray mouse lemur) is the source of this 956-nucleotide non-coding RNA. The record is from RefSeq and is a predicted model, not a curated record. Lineage: Eukaryota; Metazoa; Chordata; Mammalia; Primates; Cheirogaleidae.
AGGCGGCGAGCGGAAUGCAGCGGCCCGAGGCCUGGCCACGUCCGCAGCCGGGGGAAGGGGCCGCGGCGGCCCAGGCUGGGGGCCCGGCGCCGCCCGCCCGAGCCGGGGAGCCCUCGGGGCUGCGGUUGCAGGAACCUUCACUCUACACCAUCAAGGCUGUUUUCAUCCUAGACAAUGACGGGCGCAGGCUGCUGGCCAAGUAUUAUGAUGACACAUUCCCCUCCACAAAGGAGCAGAUGGUCUUCGAGAAAAACGUCUUCAACAAGACCAGCCGGACUGAGAGUGAGAUUGCAUUUUUCGGGGGCAUGACCAUCGUCUACAAGAGCAGCAUUGACCUCUUCCUGUAUGUGGUGGGCUCAUCCUAUGAGAAUGAGCUGAUGCUCAUGUCUGUUCUCACCUGCCUGUUCGAGUCUCUGAACCACAUGUUAAGGAAGAACGUGGAAAAGCGCUGGUUGCUGGAGAACAUGGAUGGAGCCUUCUUGGUGCUGGAUGAGAUUGUGGAUGGCGGCGUGAUUCUGGAGAGUGACCCCCAGCAAGUGAUCCAGAAAGUCAAUUUUAGGGCAGAUGAUGGCGGCUUGACUGAGCAGAGUGUGGCCCAGGUCUCUCUGCCCAGACUAAUCCUCCUUGCAUGGAACUUCCUGCCCUGGCACUAACUCCUUCCUGCCAUGGUGGCCCUGCCGAGACGGGCCUGUGCCAUCCCAGGGGUGGUGCCUGCUUUCCUGCACUGCCCUCAGUGUUCACCUGCCUCACCCUCCCCUCUGACUCCCUGUGUCUCCUCAUACCCUGCUGGAACAACUGUAGCCACACAGCACUUUUCAGGGCAGAAAGAGGUUAGGGAGCAGUGAGCAGCAGACAAGAGCACAGGUGCUCAUGUUCUUCAGUCUGCCAAGGAACAAAUUAAAUGGUCGUUAUUGAAAUGAAGGCUGUGAAAUCAAGGCUCCCUGCUCCCCAGACCA